UUCGGAAGGAUCAUUACCGAGUUCAUGCCCUUACGGGUAGAUCUCCCACCCUUUGUAUACUAUACCUUUGUUGCUUUGGCGGGCCGCCUAGCUACUGGCUUCGGCUGGUAUGUGCCCGCCAGAGGACCCAAAACCCUGAAUUAUUAGUGUCGUCUGAGUAAAAUAUUUAAUAUUUAAAACUUUCAACAACGGAUCUCUUGGCUCUGGCAUCGAUGAAGAACGCAGCGAAAUGCGAUAAGUAAUGUGAAUUGCAGAAUUCAGUGAAUCAUCGAAUCUUUGAACGCACAUUGCGCCCCUUGGUAUUCCGAGGGGCAUGCCUAUUCGAGCGUCAUUAUCACCCCUCAAGCCUAGCUUGGUGUUGAGGCCUGCUGUCAAGGCAGCCUCUAAAAUCAGUGGCAGUGCUGUCAGGCUCUAAGCGUAGUAAAUCUAAUCGCUAUAGACACCUGGUGGACACUCGCCAGAACCCCCCCAUUUUUUAAUGAUUGACCUCGGAUUAGGUAGGGAUACCCGCUGAACUUAAGCAUAUCAAUAAGCGGAGGAAAUGAUGA
This 548-nucleotide ribosomal RNA is filed under the name Tetracladium furcatum. Its description in RNAcentral is "eukaryotic LSU rRNA". The stretch from base 178 to 331 matches the Rfam family "5.8S ribosomal RNA". The record is from RNAcentral. Lineage: Eukaryota; Fungi; Ascomycota; Leotiomycetes; Helotiales. RNAcentral also lists the same sequence under 1 other name.